UACAGAGGGUGCAAGCGUUGUUCGGGAUUAUUGGGCGUAAAGGGUGCGUAGGCGGUGCGGUACGUCUUCUGUGAACUCUCCGGGCUCAACUCGGAGUCUGCAGAGGAAACUGCCGUGCUGGAGUAUGGGAGAGGUGAGUGGAAUUCCCGGUGUAGCGGUGAAAUGCGUAGAGAUCGGGAGGAACACCUGUGGCGAAAGCGGCUCACUGGACCAUUACUGACGCUGAUGCACGAAAGCUAGGGGAGCAAACAGG
Molecule: ribosomal RNA, 253 nt
Filed under: uncultured bacterium
Lineage: Bacteria
Description: partial 16S ribosomal RNA
Rfam family: Bacterial small subunit ribosomal RNA
Source: RNAcentral